This 74-nucleotide transfer RNA is filed under the name Treponema sp. Its description in RNAcentral is "tRNA-Ile". It matches the Rfam family "tRNA". Rfam says of the family: Transfer RNA (tRNA) molecules are approximately 80 nucleotides in length. Their secondary structure includes four short double-helical elements and three loops (D, anti-codon, and T loops). The record is from RNAcentral. Lineage: Bacteria; Pseudomonadati; Spirochaetota; Spirochaetia; Treponematales; Treponemataceae.
GGGCCUAUAGCUCAGUCGGUUAGAGCAACGGACUCAUAAUCCGUCGGUCCCCGGUUCAAGUCCAGGUGGGCCCA